UUAAAAAGCUCGUAGUUGGAUUUCUGCUGAAGCAAACCGGUCCGCCCUCUGGGUGAGCAUCUGGUUUUGGUUUGGCAUAUGCUUAGACUUUGCAGCUGCACUUGACUGUGUGGUGUGAAGGCUGAGCCAUUUACUUUGAGGAAAUCAGAGUGUUUCAAGCAGGCCAUUGCCUUGAAUACACUAGCAUGGAAUAAUAUGAUAUGACUGUGGUUUUAUUUUGUUGGCUUUUAGAAUUAGAGUAAUGGUUAAUAGGGAUAGUUGGGGGCAUUCAUAUUUAACUGUCAGAGGUGAAAUUCUUGGAUUUGUUAAGGAUGAACGACUGCGAAAGCAUUUGCCAAGGAUGCUUUCAUUGAUCAAGAA
RNAcentral lists this ribosomal RNA (360 nucleotides) under uncultured marine eukaryote. RNAcentral describes it as "SSU rRNA". It matches the Rfam family "Eukaryotic small subunit ribosomal RNA", at positions 619 to 983 of the family's 1831-position model. The record is from RNAcentral.